UUGAACGCUGGCGGCAGGCCUAACACACGCAAGUCGAGCGGCAGCGCGGGGCAACCUGGCGGCGAGCGGCGGACGGGUGAGUAACGCGUAGGAAUCUACCCAGUAGCGGGGGAUAGCCCGGGGAAACUCGGAUUAAUACCGCAUACGCCCUAAGGGGGAAAGCAGGGGAUCGUAAGACCUUGCACUAUUGGAAGAGCCUGCGUUGGAUUAGCUAGUUGGUAGGGUAAAGGCCUACCAAGGCGACGAUCCAUAACUGGUCUGAGAGGAUGAUCAGUGACACCGGAACUGAGACACGGUCCGGACUCCUACGGGAGGCAGCAGUGGGGAAUAUUGGACAAUGGGGGCAACCCUGAUUCAGCCAUGCCGCGUGUGUGAAGAAGGCCUUCGGGUUGUAAAGCACUUUAAGUGGGGAGAAAGGUUCGGCAGCUAAUACCUGCCGGAAGUGAUGUUACCCACAGAAUAAGCACCGGCUAACUCUGUGCCAGCAGCCGCCGUAA
RNAcentral lists this ribosomal RNA (497 nucleotides) under uncultured bacterium. RNAcentral's name for it is "partial 16S ribosomal RNA". It matches the Rfam family "Bacterial small subunit ribosomal RNA", at positions 29 to 523 of the family's 1533-position model. The record is from RNAcentral.